GCCCCAGUAAACGGCGGCCGUAACUAUAACGGUCCUAAGGUAGCGAAAUUCCUUGUCGGGUAAGUUCCGACCCGCACGAAAGGCGUAAUGAUUUGGGCACUGUCUCAACGAGAGACUCGGUGAAAUUUUAGUACCUGUGAAGAUGCAGGUUACCCGCGACAGGACGGAAAGACCCCAUGGAGCUUUACUGCAGUUUGAUAUUGAGUAUCUGUACCACAUGUACAGGAUAGGUAGGAGCCAUUGACUUCGGGACGCCAGUUUCGAAUGAGGCGUUGUUGGGAUACUACCCUUGUGUUAUGGCUACUCUAACCCAGAUAGGUUAUCCCUAUCGGAGACAGUGUCUGACGGGCAGUUUGACUGGGGCGGUCGCCUCCUAAAGAGUAACGGAGGCGCCCAAAGGUUCCCUCAGAUUGGUUGGAAAUCAAUCGCAGAGUGUAAAGGUAUAAGGGAGCUUGACUGCGAGAGCUACAACUCGAGCAGGGACGAAAGUCGGGCUUAGUGAUCCGGUGGUACCGAAUGGAAGGGCCAUCGCUCAACGGAUAAAAGCUACCCUGGGGAUAACAGGCUUAUCUCCCCCAAGAGUUCACAUCGACGGGGAGGUUUGGCACCUCGAUGUCGGCUCGUCGCAUCCUGGGGCUGUAGUCGGUCCCAAGGGUUGGGCUGUUCGCCCAUUAAAGCGGCACGCGAGCUGGGUUCAGAACGUCGUGAGAC
RNAcentral lists this ribosomal RNA (711 nucleotides) under Lacticaseibacillus rhamnosus. Its description in RNAcentral is "partial 23S ribosomal RNA". It matches the Rfam family "Bacterial large subunit ribosomal RNA", at positions 1917 to 2627 of the family's 2925-position model. The record is from RNAcentral. Lineage: Bacteria; Bacillati; Bacillota; Bacilli; Lactobacillales; Lactobacillaceae.